GGGUGAGUAACGCGUGAGCGACCAACCUUGCACAGGGGGAUAACGGACCGAAAGGUUCACUAAUACCGCAUGAGACCACGGUGUUGCAUGACACAGGGGUCAAAGGAGCAAUCCGGUGCAAGACGGGCUCGCGUCCGAUUAGGUAGUUGGAGGGGUAACGGCCCACCAAGCCUAUGAUCGGUAGCCGACCUGAGAGGGUGAUCGGCCACAUUGGAACUGAGAUACGGUCCAAACUCCUACGGGAGGCAGCAGUGGGGAAUAUUGGGCAAUGGGGGAAACCCUGACCCAGCAACGCCGCGUGAAGGAAGAAGGUUUUCGGAUUGUAAACUUCUGUCCUUGGUGAAGAGAAGAAGACGGUAGCCAAGGAGGAAGCCCCGGCUAACUACGUGCCAGCAGCCGCGGUAAUACGUAGGGGGCAAGCGUUGUCCGGAAUGAUUGGGCGUAAAGGGCGCGUAGGCGGCUUUAUAAGUCUGGAGUGAAAGUCCUCUUUUCAAGGGAGGAAUUGCUUUGGAAACUAUAGAGCUUGAGUGCAGGAGAGGUUAUCGGAAUUCCCGGUGUAGCGGUGAAAUGCGUAGAUAUCGGGAGGAACAUCGGUGGCGAAGGCGGGUAACUGGACUGCAACUGACGCUGAGGCGCGAAAGUGUGGGGAGCAAACAGGAUUAGAUACCCUGGUAGUCCACACGGUAAACGAUGAAUGCUAGGUGUAGGAGGUAUCGACCCCUUCUGUGCCGCAGUUAACACAAUAAGCAUUCCGCCUGGGGAGUACGGUCGCAAGAUUAAAACUCAAACGAAUUGACGGA
This 800-nucleotide ribosomal RNA is filed under the name uncultured anaerobic bacterium. RNAcentral describes it as "bacterial SSU rRNA". It matches the Rfam family "Bacterial small subunit ribosomal RNA", at positions 104 to 917 of the family's 1533-position model. The record is from RNAcentral.